UUUUUUGGAGAGUUUGAUCCUGGCUCAGGACGAACGCUGGCGGCGUGCCUAAUACAUGCAAGUCGAGCGAACCAAUAAGAAGCUUGCU
This 88-nucleotide ribosomal RNA is filed under the name Bacillus sp. (in: firmicutes). RNAcentral's name for it is "Bacillus sp. (in: Bacteria) partial 16S ribosomal RNA". It matches the Rfam family "Bacterial small subunit ribosomal RNA", at positions 1 to 88 of the family's 1533-position model. The record is from RNAcentral. Lineage: Bacteria; Bacillati; Bacillota; Bacilli; Caryophanales; Bacillaceae.